This 64-nucleotide transfer RNA is filed under the name Neojurtina typica. Its description in RNAcentral is "tRNA-Pro". The record is from RNAcentral. Lineage: Eukaryota; Metazoa; Arthropoda; Insecta; Hemiptera; Pentatomidae.
CAGUAAAUAGUUUAAGGAAAAAUUUUAGUUUUGGAGACUAAGGAUAAGUUUUACUUUUUACUGA